This 1506-nucleotide ribosomal RNA is filed under the name Candidatus Shapirobacteria bacterium CG06_land_8_20_14_3_00_40_12. Its description in RNAcentral is "16S ribosomal RNA". It matches the Rfam family "Bacterial small subunit ribosomal RNA". Lineage: Bacteria; Candidatus Shapironibacteriota. The record is from RNAcentral.
CUAAGAGUUUGAUCGUGGCUCAGGGUAAACGCUGGCGGUGUGCCUAAGACAUGCAAGUCGAACGGGACUUGUUGUCUACACGAAGAUAUCGAUAAUCGAUGUUUUCGCGUAGAUGAUAAGCCUAGUGGCAAACGGGUGAGUAUAAGAUAGGAACAUGCCUCGAAGUGGGACAUAGCCCCGCGAAAGCGGGAGUAAUUUCCCAUGUGGUACCGGUUAAAACCGACUACCAAAGUCGCAAGACGCUUUGAGAGUGGCCUAUUAGCUACCAGCUUGUUGGCGGGGUAAUAGCCCACCAAGGCAAUGACGGCUACCGGCUCUUAGCGGAGAGUCCGGCACAAUGGNNNNNNNNNNNNNNNNNNNNNNNNNNNNNNNNNNNNNNNNNNNNNNNNNNNNNNNNNNNNNNNNAAAGUCUGACGCAGCGACACCGCGUGGAGGAUGAAGGCUCUCGGGUUGUAAACUCCUUUUAUUUGAUCAUGAAGAUCGAAAGAAUAAGCAGCUACUAACUACGUGCCAGCAGUCGCGGUAAUACGUAGGCUGCAAGCGUUACCCGGAUUUAUUGGGCGUAAAGAGUCUGUAGGCGGUUUUUUAAGUCUUGUUUCAAAGACCCCGACUUAAUCGGGGAAAGGGGCAGGAUACUGAAAAACUCGAGUGGUAUCGGGGUCACUGGAAUUUGUAGUGUAGGGGUUAAAUCCGUGGAUACUACAAAGAACACCAAGCGCAAAGGCGGGUGACUAGGUACAUACUGACGCUGAGUAGACGAAAGCUAGGGUAGCCAAUCAGAUUAGAGACCUGAGUAGUCCUAGCUGUAAACGUUGUCUGUUAGUUCUUCCGCCUCGGCGAAGGGAUGUAAGCUAACGCGUUAAACAGACCGCCUGGGGAGUAUAGCCGCAAGGCCGAAACUCAAACGAAUUGGCGGGGAGGCGCACAACCAGUGGAGCAUGUGGUUCAAUUCGAUACGAAGCGAUGAACCUUACCUGGGCUUGAAAUGUACCUGCAGAUCUAUGAAAGUAGAAGUCCUUCGAGGGUGGUACACAGCUGUUGCAUGGCUGUCGUCAGCUCGUGACGUGAGUUGUUCUCUUAAGUGAGGUAACGAGCGCAACCCCCAUCGUAUGUUAUUGUGUCAUACGAGACUGCCUAGCAUUAUUUUGUUAGGAGGAAGGAGGGGACGAUGUCAAGUCAUCAUGAUGCCUAUGUCCAGGGCUACACACAUCCUACAAUGGAUUGCACAGAGGGUCGCAAUACCGCGAGGUGGAGCUAACCCCUAAAACAAUCCUCAGUUGGGAUUGCAGGCUGAAACUCGUCUGCAUGAACUUGGAAUUGGUAGUAAUCGCACAUCAGCAGCGUGCGGUGAAUACGUUCUCGCCUCUUGCACACACUGCCCGUCAAAUCAGCAAAGUUGGGGGUACCCAAAAUCCCGGUUUAUCCGGGACUAAGGUAAAUCCAGCGAUGAGGGUUAAGUCGUAACAAGGUAGCCGUACUGGAAGGUGCGGCUGGAUCACCUCCUUU